UACGGAGGGUGCAAGCGUCGUUCGGAAUCAUUGGGCGUAAAGCGCGUGUAGGUGGCUUGGCAAGUCGGUUGUGAAAUCCCGGGGCCCAACCCCGGAACUGCAUUCGAAACUGCCUCGCUAGAGUCCCGGAGAGGAAGGCGGAAUUCCCGGUGUAGAGGUGAAAUUCGUAGAUAUCGGGAGGAACACCAGCGGCGAAGGCGGCCUUCUGGACGGUGACUGACACUGAGACGCGAAAGCGUGGGGAGCAAACAGG
This 253-nucleotide ribosomal RNA is filed under the name uncultured bacterium. Its description in RNAcentral is "partial 16S ribosomal RNA". It matches the Rfam family "Bacterial small subunit ribosomal RNA", at positions 524 to 776 of the family's 1533-position model. The record is from RNAcentral.